CAAUAAACACAGCUGUGCACAUAUGACUGUGAUGUGUUGACUUGGAGUCCUUCAGAGUAGUAUAGCUUGGUCAUGUAGUAGCUUUAUUUUCAGGUUUUGUUUUGUUUUGUUUCAUUUCCAUAGGGGUUGCCUAGUUUGCUCUCCUACUAGUGGAGUGAAUAAUGGUUCCUUUCUCCCAUAUCCUCACUGGCAUUUGCCACUUGGUUUCCUGAUGAUAGCCAUUCUGCCUGAGCAACUCCCAAAUUGCCCACAAGAAAGCGACUUGCCGUGUAAAAGGAAAUCACUACAUGGAAUGAUGUAGUUUCAGUGUGUACUCUAGGAAGGAUGAAUCUUCAUUGGUCUGAAAGCCUCCUGUAGCACCUUACACACUGAAUGAAUACAAGAGCAGUCCAUCCCUCAGUUGAAGACUGGGCCAAGAAAAUUUGGCCCUGGUGGGGAUUUAUAUUAACUACUCAUCUUACUGUCUUUGACAGAAUAUCCACAAAAGCAGCUUCAGAGGCAAAUUGGAAGAGGGUGUUUCAAGGUUCAGAGUCAUUCCAGAACCUGGCUGUAUGGAGAUAUCUCUGUUCUUCUGCAUCAUUGGUGGUUUCUCUGUGGCUGGAAAUGAGCUCUGGUCUUCCUGAGGCUGAGUGAUCUGACAGAAGCAAGCUCCCAGCAACAGAAAUGAAGCGAGGACAGGUUUCAAGCCCGUGUUUAUUGCGCAUUGCCAUUACCCAAGAGGAGUGACAAAGAAGUGUAGGGAGACACCGUAACCACGACUCUUAAGGGUGUGUACUGACUUCAAUCAAGUUGAGGAUUUCAACCUAAAUCUUCAAUCAAGGAAAUCCCAUCUAACAUGGACUGGAUAUAACCGGUAUCUUGAAUCUACAAGUGUUUCCCUUCAAAGAAGAGCUUGAGUAUGUGUGUUCAGAAGUGACUACCAUGAGGGUGGAGAGCAACCACCUAUCCAGCAAAACCAAAGCCUUGGCCUAGACAGGAAUACAGAAGAGGGACCACAGCAACCUUCAUGGAGGGUGAGUGGUUAAACUAAUCCCAGGUAUGUUAAACAAAAGGGCUGGAAGGGGACAAGUCUCCCAACCAAGUGGAAUAACGAAGGCCAAGGCUCUAGGGAGCUGAAGCCCAGAGGGAG
Molecule: long non-coding RNA, 1129 nt
Filed under: Cricetulus griseus (Chinese hamster)
Lineage: Eukaryota; Metazoa; Chordata; Mammalia; Rodentia; Cricetidae
Description: lncRNA (ENSCGRG00015041100.1)
Source: RNAcentral